GCGAUUUGUCUGGUUACUUCCGUUAACGAACGAGACCACAGCCUACUAAAUAGUACGUGUUAUGGUAACAUAGUAUGAGACUUCUUAGAGGGACAUUUCGGGUUUACCGAAAGGAAGUUUGUGGCAAUAACAGGUCUGUGAUGCCCUUAGAUGUUCUGGGUCGCACGCGCGCUACACUGACGACUUCAACAAGUUUUUUGGCCUUGUCAAAUUUCCUUGGCCGGAAGGUCUGGGUAAUCUUUUAAAAGGGCGUCGUGAUGGGGCUAGAUUCUUGCAAUUAUUAAUCUCCAACGAGGAACC
Molecule: ribosomal RNA, 300 nt
Filed under: Thraustochytriidae sp.
Lineage: Eukaryota; Bigyra; Thraustochytrida; Thraustochytriidae
Description: SSU rRNA
Rfam family: Eukaryotic small subunit ribosomal RNA
Source: RNAcentral